GAAAUGCGAUACGUAAUGCGAAUUGCAGAAUUCAGUGAAUCAUCAAAUCUUUGAACGCAACUUGCGCUCUUGGGAUAUGCCUAAGAGCAUGCCUUGUUGAGCGUCGGUUCUAUCUAUUUGCUCAUUUUUUGCUUUAUCUUUUUAAGGUAAAAAAAUGGUGAUUGGAAUUCUCUUUUUAUUAAGAGUAUUCUGAAACAUAUAUAUAAAAAACGCAUAGUUUAAAUUAAAAUUAAAUUAAAAACGCGUGGAUAACAUGAAACGCUGUUUUUUCUUUUGGUUUUAAAUUUAAUUUAUGCAUUUGAAAUUAAACUUUUCAAUUGUUUUAGAAAUAAGAUGAAUUGAAAAUAAAUGAAAUCAGAAUUUAGACCUCAACUAAGGUAAGAGUACCCGCUGAACUUAA
RNAcentral lists this unclassified non-coding RNA (400 nucleotides) under uncultured fungus. Its description in RNAcentral is "sequence contains ITS1". The stretch from base 1 to 106 matches the Rfam family "5.8S ribosomal RNA", at positions 50 to 154 of the family's 154-position model. Lineage: Eukaryota; Fungi. The record is from RNAcentral.